RNAcentral lists this ribosomal RNA (402 nucleotides) under uncultured bacterium. Its description in RNAcentral is "bacterial SSU rRNA". It matches the Rfam family "Bacterial small subunit ribosomal RNA", at positions 355 to 774 of the family's 1533-position model. The record is from RNAcentral.
UGGGGAAUCUUGCACAAUGGGGGCAACCCUGAUGCAGCGACGCCGCGUGAGCGAUGAAGCCCUACGGGGCGUAAAGCUCUUUCGACCGGAACGAUAAUGACGGUACCGGGAGAAGAAGCUGUGGCUAACUACGUGCCAGCAGCCGCGGUAAUACGUAGGCAGCAAGCGUUGUUCGGAGUUACUGGGCGUAAAGAGUGCGUAGGCGGUUUUCUAAGUUCGGUGUGAAAUCUCCCGGCUUAACUGGGAGGGUGCGCCGAAGACUGGGAAGCUGGAGUGUGGGAAAGGCAGGCGGAAUUCCUGGUGUAGCGGUGAAAUGCGUAGAUAUCAGGAGGAACACCGGCGGUGUAGACGGCUUGCUAGACCAUAACUGACGCUGAGGCACGAAAGCGUGGGUAGCAAACA